Molecule: RNA transcript, 1859 nt
Organism: Spinacia oleracea (spinach)
Lineage: Eukaryota; Viridiplantae; Streptophyta; Magnoliopsida; Caryophyllales; Amaranthaceae
Exons: 14
Source: RefSeq, a predicted model, not a curated record
UUAGGUACAAAAUAAAGGCGAAAAGUUUAUGUGCAAUCUUGUCGAGGAAUGUAUUCCUUCUAAUAAUGGCGUGCUCUUCCUCUUAUCUGCUGGAGCCAUUGUCACACGUGCGAGCUCUCUCUCACCUACGACAGACGUGCGGUAAAAGCGUGUCAACUCACCCGCCAAUAUUCUCUCUCCUCCCUCACAACAGUACCAUAAUAGCCAUUUCCAAUUCCACCUCCAAAUACCGAUUUAUCCACCAAGUUAUCUGCAGUCGAGCUGAGUCAACUCACUUCACAGAAUCGUCGGAGAAGAAGAAGAAAAUGGAAGAAACACCAUUCAAUCCGGACAAGCGGCGAGCCGAUUUCCUUCACCUUCUUCGCAGCCGUCGAUCUUCCGAAGUUCCUUUGACAGUGGAACUUGCAAAGCCUGUGACGAACCCAAUGUAUCAACAGAGUCCACCACCAACUUUCAGUGAGGCAAUGGAAUCAUGUCCUAAAGCAGAUAUCGAAAAUCUCGAGGAUCUACUGGUAGAAGAAAACCUUUACUUGUAUACUGAGGCCUCUGAUCAAGGACGUUUACCCGUUCUGAUUCUGAGCAUGAAGCAAAGUGGUUGUGUGUCAAAGAGACCAGCUAUAGUUUUCCUGCACAGCACGCACAAGUGCAAAGAAUGGUUACGGCCUUUGCUUGAGGCAUACGCCUCACGUGGUUAUAUUGCUGUUGCUAUUGAUUCACGUUAUCACGGCGAACGCGCAGAUAGUCUAACGACCUAUAGAGAAGCACUUGUAUCGUCAUGGAAAAAGGGUGACACUAUGCCGUUCAUAUUUGAUACGGUGUGGGAUCUGAUAAAGUUGGCUGAUUAUCUUUCUAAUCAGAGGGAUGAUAUUGAUUAUGCAAGGAUUGGAAUCACUGGCGAGUCACUUGGAGGAAUGCAUGCGUGGUUUGCGGCCUUUGCUGAUACACGCUAUGCUGUGGUUGCACCUAUCAUAGGAGUCCAGGGGUUUCGGUGGGCCAUAGAUAAUGACAAAUGGCAGGGUCGUGUAGAUAGUAUCAAGGCUGUUUUUGAAGAAGCUCGUGUUGAUUUGGGAAAAAGUGUUAUAGACAAAGAAGUUGUAGAGAAGGUUUGGGAUAGGAUUGCUCCUGGUCUAGCUUCAGAGUUCGAUGCACCUUACACAAUCCCAACAAUAGCUCCUCGUCCUAUGCUGAUUUUGAAUGUCACGACCAAGCCUCUUGUCACCACAUACUGUUCUUCAGCUCUAGUGUUAAUAUCUUCUUUGACUCGGCAAGAUAUGGUGUUCGUCUUCGUAUCUUUGACGUUUCAACUUUUCUUUGAGGUGCUGAUGAUCCUCGAUGCCCACUUGCCGGUCUAGAUACGCCUAAACUGAGAGCACAAAAGGCAUAUGAAGCAUAUCAUCAUUCUGAUAAUUUCAAGCUCCUAGCAGAACCCGGAAUAGGACACCGUAUGACACCAUACAUGGUCAAAGAAGCUAGUGAGUGGUUUGACAAAUUUCUCUAGAGCGAGCAUGGAGGGGUAUGAUGAUUCAGUUUUAUAACCUUUUCUUAAUGGUAGAGACGAGCAGCUCAGAUUUCACACUAAAUAAUUUGAAAUAAUAAGUGACACCACCUCAAAUGAUGAAGCAGCCGAAUCUGCAUCUUAAAGCUGUGUGUUUCUCAUUGAUCAAGAUUUGCUAAGGGAGCCGUAUUGUCAUUGCUGUCAAAUGUAUUAGUAUGGCCUGAAGGUUCCAUUUUCUUGGUUUUACAUCUUUUGUAUCUUCAUUGUUGUUUCCAUGUAGUUUGCAUUUGGUACACUGACAUAAAUAAUGAACUUUGUGUGUAAUCUUAAUUUCAUUAUUGAAUAAACAAGGGAAUCUGAUCUA